Molecule: ribosomal RNA, 519 nt
Filed under: uncultured beta proteobacterium
Lineage: Bacteria; Pseudomonadati; Pseudomonadota; Betaproteobacteria
Description: bacterial SSU rRNA
Rfam family: Bacterial small subunit ribosomal RNA
Source: RNAcentral
GAGUUUGAUCGUGGCUCAGAUUGAACGCUGGCGGAAUGCUUUACACAUGCAAGUCGAACGGCAGCACGGGGGCAACCCUGGUGGCGAGUGGCGAACGGGUGAGUAAUACAUCGGAACGUGCCCAGUCGUGGGGGAUAACGUAGCGAAAGCUACGCUAAUACCGCAUACGAUCUACGGAUGAAAGCGGGGGAUCGCAAGACCUCGCGCGAUUGGAGCGGCCGAUGGCAGAUUAGGUAGUUGGUGGGGUAAAGGCUCACCAAGCCGACGAUCUGUAGCUGGUCUGAGAGGACGACCAGCCACACUGGGACUGAGACACGGCCCAGACUCCUACGGGAGGCAGCAGUGGGGAAUUUUGGACAAUGGGCGCAAGCCUGAUCCAGCCAUUCCGCGUGCAGGAUGAAGGCCCUCGGGUUGUAAACUGCUUUUGUACGGAACGAAACGGCGCUUUCUAAUACAGAGCGCUAAUGACGGUACCGUAAGAAUAAGCACCGGCUAACUACGUGCCAGCCGCCGCGGUAA